Molecule: ribosomal RNA, 193 nt
Filed under: uncultured yeast
Lineage: Eukaryota; Fungi
Description: partial 26S rRNA
Rfam family: Eukaryotic large subunit ribosomal RNA
Source: RNAcentral
AGUGAACCGGGAAGAGCUCAAAUUUGAAAUCUGGCUGUCUUCGAUAGUCCGAGUUGUAAUCUAUAGAAGCGUUUUCCGUGCUGAACUGUGUCUAAGUCCCUUGGAACAGGGUAUCAAAGAGGGUGACAAUCCCGUUCUUGACACAAUCAUCAGUGCUCUGUGAUACGUUCUCUAUGAGUCGAGUUGUUUAAUA